GCGCCGCUUGGCAAAUUCCCCGCUUGGACCAACAGGCCUUUCCCAGGCCCGCCGGCCGGUCCGCGGCCGCACCCGCUGUCCAUGCUAGGCUCGGCCCCACAGCACCUGCUGGGACUUCCCGGAGCCGCAGGCCACCCCGCUGCGGCCGCCGCCGCCUAUGCUCGGCCUGCGGAGCCAGAGAGUGGAACAGAUCGCUGUAGUGCCUUGGAAGUGGAGAAAAAGUUACUUAAGACAGCUUUCCAGCCGGUGCCAAGGCGGCCCCAGAACCACCUGGAUGCUGCUCUGGUCUUAUCAGCUCUCUCUUCGUCUUAACUUUUCAACAAUUUUUAAAUCGUUGUACUAAUUGUAAAAACAAAUUCGCUCUGUAUAGUGUCGAGUUGCAAGCAUGUCUGUGUAUGAUUACCUUAAAAGAAACACUAAACAACAACAGAAAAGGACGAAAGGAAGAAAUAAAGCCAGUCCCCCCUCGGCCCUCCCCCAAGUCACUUCCAUAUCACCCCACAUUAGACUGUGAGGUUCGUUUGUUCUGUUGAUUUCGGAGGGAAGUGGGGUUACAGAGAGAAUAAGCCCGUCUGACUCUUUUUGUAUAUACCGGAAAAUGUACAUACGUGUGAACCAAAUUGUACAAGAAAGUAUCUAUUUUUUGGCUAAAUAAAUGAGUUGUUGCCACUUUUGACUAUAA
This 682-nucleotide long non-coding RNA is filed under the name Rattus norvegicus (Norway rat). RNAcentral's name for it is "long non-coding RNA NONRATT014487". Lineage: Eukaryota; Metazoa; Chordata; Mammalia; Rodentia; Muridae. The record is from RNAcentral.